CUCUUGUGGUAUUCCCGUCAUCCAUGCAAAACGUACUCAGUGGGUCCUGGAUGACCCAGAUAGAGAUAGAGAGGCUAUCUCUCUAUACACCGACGGAUCUAAGAUGCAUUGCAGUGUGGUAGCGGAAAUUCUAGCUAUCCUUGAAUCCUGCAAAAUCUUUGGUAAUAUAGUCGCGUACAAGAAUAAAACAAAAAUAUACUCUGACAGCCAGGUGGCGCUAUUGGCAAUAGCAUCACCGGUUACCAAAUCUAAGCUAGUUAGCGAAUGCAAAAUGGUACUGCGUUCAGGGCCCCAGCCAACUACCGUCUCUCUUGUCUGGGUCUUGGACAUAGGAACAUAAAAGGCAAUGACAAGACUGAUGAAUGAGCGAAGGCAGGCGGUGGUUUGUAUGAAUACCAAGCAUUGCCCCCUUGAAAUAGUCCAAAGAGAGAUUACCACGCAUUUUCUUGAACUGGCUUGACACAAGAGGUCCGAUAUACAGAUCUGUUGUAUAUCAAAAAAAUUCUGGGCUAACUACAACAGGAUGAAGACCUUCGAUCUGCCAAACGUUUCUAAAUUGUUUUCAGCGGGUGUGUUUAGGUAUGUACUUAGUUUACACAUAAAAAAUUCAUACAAGUCCCUAACAGGCGCCACUAACCGCACAAAAGUGAGUUGACUAAGUAAAUGAAGUCAAUGGAAGUCGGUGGAAGGUGUAGACGUGGGAGGUGGGAGGCGGCCUUUUUAAAGAAGGAAAAAGCGAGAGAUAAUCAUUGGUGUUGGCGACGAGCAUUUAUCGUCACCAAUAAGUUGACAGAGCUCAGCUAGCAGGGACUUUGUGUACACACCAAACUUAUGCUGGUUGGUUAGUGGAUGAAGAAAUGAGCACAUUUGGGGUUUUCGUUAGAUGAUGGAGAGGGUUCGGGGGCAUUGUCGAUGAAAAUGUAAUAUGCGAAAAGAAAACCAAAUAAAAGAUUAAAGAAGAAAAAGAGCACAUUUGAACGAUACAGCGGAAUAAGUUGAAAGAAAGAAAGCAAUAGGAAAUAUUUUUCUUUCGCAGCAAAUUUUCCGCAUUAUACGCUUGGCUUACUCAUCGAGCGAUUUAUUCAUAUACUUUUUCAUAUAAAUUCAUACUUAUGAAGGAAGCAUUUUCUUCGUGGCAAUAGAAGCUUGUAGAUAUGUACAUAUGUACAUAUGUAUGGGCGCAGCACCUUGACUGUCACAAUGCGAGCGUGUAGCGUGUGAAUGCGCCAACGCUCCACUGAGUAAUGACUGCAGAACGAGUGCGCGAUGCUGCUAAUGGGGGAGCAGCGCCUGUAUUAUUGAUACGAUGUUGAGCCACACCGCAGCCGGACGAAGUGGCAAUAAAAAAUUUAGUUAGCUGUUUGGUUCACCAUGGGACGGACCAUUUACCAGUUACAGAGGUGGUCGAACAACCGACGCAGCUACACAAUGACGAUGCACAGUCUACAAAAUGUAACAGGAGCUGAGUUGUGGACAAGCAGUUGCUUAUUACAACAAAUGCGAAUAUUAUGGAUAAAUUCGCUAUAGAAAGGUUUGUGUGCGCGUGUACAUAUUCAAAUGCACAAGUACUGUCUAAAAAGAGUGUGCCAACUUUAUAAACCUGAUCGUGAAAUUUAAAUGCAGUUGAGUGUGUACAUAUGUAUGUACAUUAGGGUGGUCCUGAAAAGAGCAAAUGAGCGAGUUUUUUCUGUCUCACCUCCUCAAUUUGUAAUACCAUUGUCACACAUAGCACAUACAAAAUUUGGUUCCGGUUGAAGACGGUUAAGACGUCUCGCACAGGGGACAAAGUUCAAAUUCCUCAAUGGAGACUCAAAAAAAUUAAAAUAAUUUUUUUUUUUCAUAUAAUACC
Long non-coding RNA from Rhagoletis pomonella (apple maggot), 1849 nucleotides. RefSeq lists it as uncharacterized. The transcript has 3 exons. Lineage: Eukaryota; Metazoa; Arthropoda; Insecta; Diptera; Tephritidae. The record is from RefSeq and is a predicted model, not a curated record.